RNAcentral lists this ribosomal RNA (766 nucleotides) under Salmonella enterica. Its description in RNAcentral is "partial 23S ribosomal RNA". It matches the Rfam family "Bacterial large subunit ribosomal RNA", at positions 2037 to 2802 of the family's 2925-position model. The record is from RNAcentral. RNAcentral also lists the same sequence under 1 other name. Lineage: Bacteria; Pseudomonadati; Pseudomonadota; Gammaproteobacteria; Enterobacterales; Enterobacteriaceae.
UGAAAUUGAACUCGCUGUGAAGAUGCAGUGUACCCGCGGCAAGACGGAAAGACCCCGUGAACCUUUACUAUAGCUUGACACUGAACAUUGAGCCUUGAUGUGUAGGAUAGGUGGGAGGCUUUGAAGUGUGGACGCCAGUCUGCAUGGAGCCGACCUUGAAAUACCACCCUUUAAUGUUUGAUGUUCUAACGUGGACCCGUUACCCGGGUUGCGGACAGUGUCUGGUGGGUAGUUUGACUGGGGCGGUCUCCUCCUAAAGAGUAACGGAGGAGCACGAAGGUUGGCUAAUCCUGGUCGGACAUCAGGAGGUUAGUGCAAUGGCAUAAGCCAGCUUGACUGCGAGCGUGACGGCGCGAGCAGGUGCGAAAGCAGGUCAUAGUGAUCCGGUGGUUCUGAAUGGAAGGGCCAUCGCUCAACGGAUAAAAGGUACUCCGGGGAUAACAGGCUGAUACCGCCCAAGAGUUCAUAUCGACGGCGGUGUUUGGCACCUCGAUGUCGGCUCAUCACAUCCUGGGGCUGAAGUAGGUCCCAAGGGUAUGGCUGUUCGCCAUUUAAAGUGGUACGCGAGCUGGGUUUAGAACGUCGUGAGACAGUUCGGUCCCUAUCUGCCGUGGGCGCUGGAGAACUGAGGGGGGCUGCUCCUAGUACGAGAGGACCGGAGUGGACGCAUCACUGGUGUUCGGGUUGUCAUGCCAAUGGCACUGCCCGGUAGCUAAAUGCGGAAGAGAUAAGUGCUGAAAGCAUCUAAGCACGAAACUUGCCCCGA